This 485-nucleotide ribosomal RNA is filed under the name uncultured bacterium. Its description in RNAcentral is "partial 16S ribosomal RNA". It matches the Rfam family "Bacterial small subunit ribosomal RNA", at positions 355 to 829 of the family's 1533-position model. The record is from RNAcentral.
UGGGGAAUUUUGGACAAUGGGCGAAAGCCUGAUCCAGCAAUGCCGCGUGUGUGAAGAAGGCCUUCGGGUUGUAAAGCACUUUUGUCCGGAAAGAAAUCCUUGGCUCUAAUACAGUCGGGGGAUGACGGUACCGGAAGAAUAAGCACCGGCUAACUACGUGCCAGCAGCCGCGGUAAUACGUAGGGUGCAAGCGUUAAUCGGAAUUACUGGGCGUAAAGCGUGCGCAGGCGGUUUGCUAAGACCGAUGUGAAAUCCCCGGGCUCAACCUGGGAACUGCAUUGGUGACUGGCAGGCUAGAGUAUGGCAGAGGGGGGUAGAAUUCCACGUGUAGCAGUGAAAUGCGUAGAGAUGUGGAGGAAUACCGAUGGCGAAGGCAGCCCCCUGGGCCAAUACUGACGCUCAUGCACGAAAGCGUGGGGGAGCAAAACAGGAUUAGAUACCCUGGUAGUCCACGCCCUAAAACGAUGUCAACUAGUUGUUGGGGA